Molecule: unclassified non-coding RNA, 425 nt
Filed under: soil metagenome
Description: partial contains 5.8S ribosomal RNA, internal transcribed spacer 2, and large subunit ribosomal RNA
Rfam family: 5.8S ribosomal RNA (bases 1-120)
Source: RNAcentral
GAUGAAGAACGUAGCGAAAUGCGAUAAGUAGUGUGAAUUGCAGAAUUCCGUGAAUCAUCGAAUCUUUGAACGCACAUUGCGCCUUCUGGUAUUCCGGAAGGCAUGCCUGUUCGAGAGUCAUUAACAACCGUUUCGAUCCCUUUCUUUCAGAAAUUACAAAGAGGAAAAGGGUUUGGUUAUGGUGGAGGAGGGAAAGGGAGCGUUUAGCCUGUAAAAAAAGAGGCUGUGUUCCGCCUCCCCCCCAAAAUUGUACAGGCGGUCGUGUGCGCCCACGCAUCGAGGUGUUGUAAAAGCUGCCACGGCACUUUUCACCUGUGCAGUGCGAGAUUGGCCAGCCGGUUUAAAAACCCCUCCAAACAAUCAAAGGUUGACCUCGGAUCAGGUAGGGAUACCCGCUGAACUUAAGCAUAUCAAUAAGCGGACGA